This 494-nucleotide ribosomal RNA is filed under the name uncultured bacterium. Its description in RNAcentral is "partial 16S ribosomal RNA". It matches the Rfam family "Bacterial small subunit ribosomal RNA", at positions 28 to 507 of the family's 1533-position model. The record is from RNAcentral.
GACGAACGCUGGCGACGUGCUUAACACAUGCAAGUCGAACGGUGAAGCGCCUUCCUUUUUGGUGGGUGUGGAUGAGUGGCGAACGGGUGAGUAACACGUGAGUAACCUGCCCCCUUCUUCUGGAUAACCGCAUGAAAGUGUGGCUAAUACGGGAUAUUCUGGGUCUGUCGCAUGAUGGGUCUGGGAAAGAUAUUGUUUCGGUGGGGGAUGGGCUCGCGGCCUAUCAGCUUGUUGGUGGGGUGAUGGCCUACCAAGGCGGUGACGGGUAGCCGGCCUGAGAGGGUAGACGGUCACACUGGGACAGAGACACGGCCCAGACUCCUACGGGAGGCAGCAGUGGGGAAUAUUGCACAAUGGGCGCAAGCCUGAUGCAGCGACGCCGCGUGAGGGAUGGAGGCCUUCGGGUUGUGAACCUCUUUCGCCAGUGAAGCAGGCCUGCCUCGUUUGUGGGUGGGUUGACGGUAGCUGGAUAAGAAGCGCCGGCUAACUACGUG